RNAcentral lists this non-coding RNA (45 nucleotides) under Schistosoma margrebowiei. Lineage: Eukaryota; Metazoa; Platyhelminthes; Trematoda; Strigeidida; Schistosomatidae. The record is from RNAcentral.
AUUCAAAUGACGAAUCUCAAAUAUGACGUAACACGUGUCCUGGAU